RNAcentral lists this ribosomal RNA (1388 nucleotides) under uncultured Lactobacillus sp. Its description in RNAcentral is "bacterial SSU rRNA". It matches the Rfam family "Bacterial small subunit ribosomal RNA", at positions 27 to 1383 of the family's 1533-position model. Lineage: Bacteria; Bacillati; Bacillota; Bacilli; Lactobacillales; Lactobacillaceae. The record is from RNAcentral.
GGACGAACGCUGGCGGCGUGCCUAAUACAUGCAAGUCGAACGAACUCUGGUAUUGAUUGGUGCUUGCAUCAUGAUUUACAUUUGAGUGAGUGGCGAACUGGUGAGUAACACGUGGGAAACCUGCCCAGAAGCGGGGGAUAACACCUGGAAACAGAUGCUAAUACCGCAUAACAACUUGGACCGCAUGGUCCGAGCUUGAAAGAUGGCUUCGGCUAUCACUUUUGGAUGGUCCCGCGGCGUAUUAGCUAGAUGGUGGGGUAACGGCUCACCAUGGCAAUGAUACGUAGCCGACCUGAGAGGGUAAUCGGCCACAUUGGGACUGAGACACGGCCCGAACUCCUACGGGAGGCAGCAGUAGGGAAUCUUCCACAAUGGACGAAAGUCUGAUGGAGCAACGCCGCGUGAGUGAAGAAGGGUUUCGGCUCGUAAAACUCUGUUGUUAAAGAAGAACAUAUCUGAGAGUAACUGUUCAGGUAUUGACGGUAUUUAACCAGAAAGCCACGGCUAACUACGUGCCAGCAGCCGCGGUAAUACGUAGGUGGCAAGCGUUGUCCGGAUUUAUUGGGCGUAAAGCGAGCGCAGGCGGUUUUUUAAGUCUGAUGUGAAAGCCUUCGGCUCAACCGAAGAAGUGCAUCGGAAACUGGGAAACUUGAGUGCAGAGAGGACAGUGGACUCCAUGUGUAGCGGUGAAAUGCGUAGAUAUAUGGAAGAACACCAGUGGCGAAGGCGGCUGUCUGGUCUGUAACUGACGCUGAGGCUCGAAAGUAUGGGUAGCAAACAGGAUUAGAUACCCUGGUAGUCCAUACCGUAAACGAUGAAUGCUAAGUGUUGGAGGGUUUCCGCCCUUCAGUGCUGCAGCUAACGCAUUAAGCAUUCCGCCUGGGGAGUACGGCCGCAAGGCUGAAACUCAAAGGAAUUGACGGGGGCCCGCACAAGCGGUGGAGCAUGUGGUUUAAUUCGAAGCUACGCGAAGAACCUUACCAGGUCUUGACAUACUAUGCAAAUCUAAGAGAUUAGACGUUCCCUUCGGGGACAUGGAUACAGGUGGUGCAUGGUUGUCGUCAGCUCGUGUCGUGAGAUGUUGGGUUAAGUCCCGCAACGAGCGCAACCCUUAUUAUCAGUUGCCAGCAUUAAGUUGGGCACUCUGGUGAGACUGCCGGUGACAAACCGGAGGAAGGUGGGGAUGACGUCAAAUCAUCAUGCCCCUUAUGACCUGGGCUACACACGUGCUACAAUGGAUGGUACAACGAGUUGCGAACUCGCGAGAGUAAGCUAAUCUCUUAAAGCCAUUCUCAGUUCGGAUUGUAGGCUGCAACUCGCCUACAUGAAGUCGGAAUCGCUAGUAAUCGCGGAUCAGCAUGCCGCGGUGAAUACGUUCCCGGGCCUUG